RNAcentral lists this ribosomal RNA (490 nucleotides) under uncultured bacterium. RNAcentral describes it as "partial 16S ribosomal RNA". It matches the Rfam family "Bacterial small subunit ribosomal RNA", at positions 30 to 507 of the family's 1533-position model. The record is from RNAcentral.
AUUGAACGCUGGCGGCAGGCCUAACACAUGCAAGUCGAACGGUAACAGGAAGACGCUUGCUUCUUUGCUGACGAGUGGCGGACGGGUGAGUAAUGUCUGGGAAACUGCCUGAUGGAGGGGGAUAACUACUGGAAACGGUAGCUAAUACCGCAUAACGUCGCAAGACCAAAGAGGGGGACCUUCGGGCCUCUUGCCAUCGGAUGUGCCCAGAUGGGAUUAGCUAGUAGGUGGGGUAACGGCUCACCUAGGCGACGAUCCCUAGCUGGUCUGAGAGGAUGACCAGCCACACUGGAACUGAGACACGGUCCAGACUCCUACGGGAGGCAGCAGUGGGGAAUAUUGCACAAUGGGCGCAAGCCUGAUGCAGCCAUGCCGCGUGUAUGAAGAAGGACUUCGGGUUGUAAAGUACUUUCAGCGGGGAGGAAGGGAGUAAAGUUAAUACCUUUGCUCAUUGACGUUACCCGCAGAAGAAGCACCGGCUAACUCCGUG